GCUGAUGAUUCCUAGAACGAAUACCUCCAACACAAUCAUUUGGUAAUUAUCCAUAGGCUUGUAGUAAUAUGGAAGGGAAGAAUCAAUAAUUUUAUGUAGCCUAACAAUAAAAAUAAAAUUGUGGGGUAAUAGAGAGAUGAAUUCUGAUAAGGUCAAAAGCUAAAAUGAAUAAGGUAAUGGAAGGGAUAAGGAGAGUUCACAUGAAAGCAAAGAGAAGAAGACAAAGGACAAGAAAGACAGGUCAUAUUUGCUCUCUGUGUUUGAUUAAAGCGGACAAAACUGGUAUCAACCUUCCAAUACAAUCGAAUUCAGAGAACCAUACAAUCCAGGAGCAGGGCACUGGCCGAUUUGAAACUGUCAAUAGAAAUCACUUCUUGGAUUCU
Molecule: unclassified non-coding RNA, 383 nt
Filed under: Hevea brasiliensis (rubber tree)
Lineage: Eukaryota; Viridiplantae; Streptophyta; Magnoliopsida; Malpighiales; Euphorbiaceae
Source: RNAcentral